This is a long non-coding RNA of Dioscorea cayenensis subsp. rotundata (Guinea yam), 667 nucleotides long. RefSeq lists it as uncharacterized. The record is from RefSeq and is a predicted model, not a curated record. Lineage: Eukaryota; Viridiplantae; Streptophyta; Magnoliopsida; Dioscoreales; Dioscoreaceae. The transcript is spliced from 2 exons.
GUCGUCCCUGUCCUCCUCAUCUCCUGGAUGGUGGUCUUGCACAUACUCCAUUCCCUCUCACAAUGUUUCCUCUGCAAAGUGCAAUACCAGGGCUCUUCCUUCCCUGUCGUUGACCUUGACCGGAUGAGGUCUUCCAUCCCUCCAUCAAUCAGUUUUUCUCUCCUUCCAGCCUUGGAGCAGUAAAUGUAAGAAAGGUCCUGAUGCUCCCCGUGCCAGUUGGAAGUGCCCCGGAAAAGAAACGAGUUAGGAUGCCAAUAUUUCAGUCUUACUGGAUCUCCUAUAUGUGCUAAGAAAUGACAACAAAUGCUGAAUUUCUCGAAGGAUAUUAUGUUUGAUGAACAUGUGCAUGCACAUAAGGUAACUUCUUUCUUUCAUUAUGCAUAUUUGCUUUUGAAGCCGGAUUGAAGAUGGAUACGAAACUAAAAUUAGUUUCUUUUAAAUAUCUAGAUGACUGUAGGUUUGUUAUUUUUACUUAAAGAAUUAUCCUUUUACUAGUUGAUUCUCAUAUUAUCAUAUUUUUGGAGGGGCUGAUGUUGCCUAUCAUUUGCAUAACAUCAAGUGGUUGUUUCCAAGCAUAUGCAAAAGAGCCAAGGUAAUGUGAACAAUUAUUGGUGACAAUUCUUGCUUAUUUAUUUAUUUAUUGCAAUGGUAAGCGAGUUCAUGACUA